UACUGGUUAAAGCCAGCUGGUGCAGCUUAUGAUCAGAUCAUCAUCAUUUUGAGGUAAUUGGAAAGGAAAAAUGAAUUUAGUGCAAAACUGAGAAGUGGGCGAAUGAGACAGAUGAUCCAGGGAGUUUUCAAUGAAUUUUCUACUCAGUGCUCAACUUUCUCUUUGACAACCGCUUGAAAAUUUAACAGUUAAUCCCGCUCCGUCAAGUGUGAGGAUGUAGCUUGAUCCAAUCAUGUGAAGCACUUGGACUCAGACCCAGUUAAUUAUUUCAGUGCUUAAAUACUGGCCCUCUUUUGUUGAACUCGUUUUAAUGGCCAAAGAUGGUGUGGAAAAGCCCUUGCUGUCAGGAUUAGUCAAUCCUACAGCUCUGACAAGUAAGAAAGAUGCUUUGAAAAGAAGAUAUCGCCAUUGUAAAAGUGCUCCUCUUGCAGAAUUUGUUCCUGUAGGGACAAACGGGAUUCGCCCAAUUCCACGUUACGAGUCCAUUUUUGGGAAACUACACCCAAGUUUUAAGAAAGUAGCCAUAUUCUUGGCUGUAUACUUAGGUGUAGGAACUGUAAGCUUCUACCUUGUCAGGAACCAGGUAGAGGGAACGAAAACAGAUGGAAUUCUUGAUGCUGUGUAUUUCUGUGUUGUGACAAUGACCACUGUUGGAUAUGGAGACCUAGUGCCUGAUAGUGUCCUUACAAAACUACUUGCCUGUGCCUUUGUUUUCACGGGAAUGGCUCUGGUUGGACUAAUCCUGACCAAAGCAGCAGAUUAUUUGGUAGAGAAGCAGGAAAUAUUACUUGUUAAAGCCUUGCAUAUGCGUCAAAAACCUGGCCCUGCUGACAUUCUGAAAGACAUCGAGACCAACGGAGUGAGAUACAAAUGUAUAACAGUCUUCAUCCUUCUUUUGGUGCUCAUAAUAGCUGGGACAAUCUUCCUAACUACUGUUGAGAAAUUAGACACUGUUGAUGCAUUUUAUUGUGUUUGUGCUACUAUCACAACCCUAGGCUAUGGAGAUAAGAGCUUCUCAACUAAAGCAGGGCGUGCUUUUGCGGUGAUUUGGAUAUUGGCAAGUACUAUUACCUUAGCUCAGUUUUUUCUCUACAUUGCUGAGCUAAAUGCUGAAAAAAGACAAAGGGCGCUGGUCGAGCGGGUUCUUACUCGGAGGAUGACGAAUGUAGAUCUUGAAGCAGCUGAUCUUGAUGAUGAUGGGGUUGUUGACGCUGCCGAGUUCAUCAUAUAUAAGCUGAAAGAGAUGGGGAAGAUUAGUCAAGAAGAUAUUUCACUUAUAAUGGAAGAGUUUGAAGAUUUGGAUGUUGAUCAGUCGGGAACUUUGUCAGCAUCUGAUAUAAUGCUUGCUCAAUCAUCUCAAGCAGAGAGGUGACCUUACCAUCACAAAAUGCUAAUUGGUUUUUAUGACCAUACCAUCAAGAAAAGGAUCUUGAAGAGAAGAGCAAAGGACGUGCACUUUCUGGAUAUUCAUCUGAAGAUGGAAAAGGUAUUGUCAUAUCACUUUUUUUGGUUGAGGUACGCUUCUGUUGGGCAGAUUGACAUCUCUAACAAUUUGCUAUCCAAAUUGUUAUUAAUUUAAAUAAUAAUUGUAAGAGAGCCUGUAUGAGACCUACAUGCCCGAAAUUGCUAGCAAAUUUGGCCAGACAAACAACAAAUUGCUACAGAUUCCAAUCGUUGUUAGGCUUAGCUCAAGAAAAGAGGCUUCCAAGUCUAUUUCCCAUGCCAUUCAUGUUCUAUUCGAUCUUUUCUUGGGAAGGAUUCUAUGCUUGUUUUGCAUUGUAUGAGCAUUUUAUGCUUUUAUUGCAUGUUUUGGUCUAGAU
This is an RNA transcript of Corylus avellana, 1820 nucleotides long. It is a transcript of the gene named two-pore potassium channel 1, with no coding region annotated. The record is from RefSeq and is a predicted model, not a curated record. NCBI's taxonomy places the organism in Eukaryota, Viridiplantae, Streptophyta, Magnoliopsida, Fagales, Betulaceae.